AGCGAAUAGAUACCCUGGUAGUCCACGCCGUAAACUAUGGACGCUAGCUGUUAGAAGUAUCGACCCUUCUAGUAGCGAAAGCUAACGCGUUAAGCGUCCCGCCUGUGGAGUACGAGCGCAAGCUUAAAACAUAAAGGAAUUGACGGGGACCCGCACAAGCGGUGGAGCGUGUUGUUUAAUUCGAUGCUAAGCGAAGAACCUUACCCAGGUUUGACAUCCUGCUAAUUUCUCCGAAAGGAGAGAGUGCCUUCGGGCCGCAGUGACAGGUGUUGCAUGGCCGUCGUCAGCUCGUGUCGUGAGAUGUUUGGUUAAGUCCAUCAACGAGCGCAACCCUUUUG
This 338-nucleotide ribosomal RNA is filed under the name uncultured bacterium. RNAcentral's name for it is "bacterial SSU rRNA". It matches the Rfam family "Bacterial small subunit ribosomal RNA", at positions 774 to 1109 of the family's 1533-position model. The record is from RNAcentral.